UCCGAGUUGACCCCGGCAGUCUCCUGCGAGUCCCCGCCAUUACGCGCUGGCAACACAGGACAAGGGUUGCGCUCGUUGCGGGACUUAACCCAACAUCUCACGACACGAGCUGACGAUAGCCAUGCACCACCUAUCGCAGGCCCUUUCGGACACCGUAUCUCUACGGCUUUUCCUGCGUAGUUCAACCCAGGUAAGGUUCUUCGCGUUGCAUCGAAUUAAGCCACAUGCUCCACCGCUUGUGCGGGUCCCCGUCAAUUCCUUUAUGUUUUAGUCUUGCGACCGUACUCCACAGGCGGGAUACUUAACGCGUUAGCCUCGCUACUGAAGGGGUCGAUACCUCCAACAGCUAGUAUCCAUCGUUUACGGCGUGGACUAC
Molecule: unclassified non-coding RNA, 376 nt
Filed under: uncultured bacterium
Lineage: Bacteria
Description: contains 16S-23S intergenic spacer region
Source: RNAcentral